This 449-nucleotide ribosomal RNA is filed under the name uncultured bacterium. RNAcentral describes it as "partial 16S ribosomal RNA". It matches the Rfam family "Bacterial small subunit ribosomal RNA", at positions 29 to 523 of the family's 1533-position model. The record is from RNAcentral.
AACGAACGCUGGCGGCAGGCCUAACACAUGCAAGUCGAACGCCCUAGCAAUAGGGAGUGGCAGACGGGUGAGUAACACGUGGGAACCUUUCCUAUAGUACGGAAUAACCCAGGGAAACUUGGAGUAAUACCGUAUACGCCCGAGAGGGGAAAGAUUUAUCGCUAUAGGAUGGGCCCGCGUCGGAUUAGCUAGUUGGUGAGGUAAGGGCUCACCAAGGCAACGAUCCGUAGUUGGUUUGAGAGAAUGACCAGCCACACUGGGACUGAGACACGGCCCAGACUCCUACGGGAGGCAGCAGUGGGGAAUCUUGGACAAUGGGCGCAAGCCUGAUCCAGCCAUGCCGCGUGAGUGAUGAAGGCCUUAGGGUUGUAAAGCUCUUUUGGCGGGGACGAUAAUGACGGUACCCGCAGAAUAAGUCCCGGCUAACUUCGUGCCAGCCGCCGCGGUAA